CCCGACUCCCUCGCGACAUUACCUCCCUCGCCGACUCUUGCUUUCUCGCCGACUAAUUUCUCGCAUCUCGCCGACUCUUCUACGCAUAUCUUUCCGGCAUCGUGUAUCUCGCCGUUGCCGACUCUGCUGCUCGUCGCCGACUUUGUGUAUCUCGCCUCUGUUGCUCUCUCUCAAAAGGAACAAUAUAGAGAGCGACAAAAUGUUGAUGAUCACUCUACACAUCCAUCAUUCAAUCUCAAAUAAUGGUGGGAUGUGGUGGGUGGCCGAUAUAAGGGAAGGGUGUAUGUAUUUGGAUGCAAUCAAUACUUUGGAAGAUCAUACAAUGUAACUUUCAAUGAAAUGUGCUCCAAUGAAAAAAACAAAGAACUAUCACAAGAAAUUGAAGAUAUGCGUGCUACUAGCAAGAGGAUGGAGAAAGAAAUUAUUGAAAGCAAAAACAAAUUGGAACUCGUAUCACAGAAAAUAGGCAAAGGGAAGAUAAACUUAUCGAGGAAGGUAGACAAAGGGAAGAAAAACUUAUGGAGGAAGGUAGACAAAGAGAAGAAAAUCUCAUGGAGAUGGUUCGUAAGAUGAUUCAAGAGGUGGGAUUAUUUUAUGAAUAUUUGGAUAAAUAUUUGGAUGAUGUGAUAUUUUUGGAUUAAAAAUUAAUUGUUUUAAAUAUUUUUAAUUUA
Zingiber officinale is the source of this 671-nucleotide long non-coding RNA. RefSeq lists it as uncharacterized. The transcript has 2 exons. NCBI's taxonomy places the organism in Eukaryota, Viridiplantae, Streptophyta, Magnoliopsida, Zingiberales, Zingiberaceae. The record is from RefSeq and is a predicted model, not a curated record.